This 292-nucleotide small RNA is filed under the name uncultured Superficieibacter sp. RNAcentral's name for it is "SgrS RNA". It matches the Rfam family "SgrS RNA". From Rfam's summary of the family: In sugar transport-related sRNA (SgrS) is induced under conditions of glucose phosphate stress in E.coli. This small RNA acts to negatively regulate the translation and stability of the ptsG mRNA, which encodes the major glucose transporter in E. coli. The record is from RNAcentral. Lineage: Bacteria; Pseudomonadati; Pseudomonadota; Gammaproteobacteria; Enterobacterales; Enterobacteriaceae.
GAUGAAGCAAGGAGGUGGAAUAUGCAGAGGUCAUUCACCCGUCAGUUUUACCUGCGCUAUUUUAUUGCAACACAGGGAGUGUCCUGGCUGGCCCGUCAGAGCGCACGGCAGCGACUGAAGUUGCUUGAAGAACUGAUGCAGUGGGACGUUACAAAUCCUGUCUCUGAUUCUGUUCAUCCUCAGGAGGCAAGAUUACCUGAACGAUGAACGCAUCGCUGACUUGCAGACAUCAUGUGUGACUGAGUAUUGGUGUAAUAUCACCCGCCAGCAGAUUAUUUCUGCUGGCUUUUUU